AACGAACGCUGGCGGCAUGCCUAACACAUGCAAGUCGAACGAGACCUUCGGGUCUAGUGGCGCACGGGUGCGUAACGCGUGGGAACCUGCCCUUAGGUUCGGGAUAACUCCCCGAAGGGGGUGCUAAUACCGGAUAAUGUCUUCGGACCAAAGAUUUAUCGCCCUUGGAUGGGCCCGCGUUGGAUUAGCUAGUUGGUAGGGUACAAGCCUACCAAGGCGACGAUCCAUAGCUGGUCUGAGAGGAUGAUCAGCCACACUGGGACUGAGACACGGCCCAGACUCCGACGGGAGGAAGCAGUAGGGAAUAUUGGACAAUGGGAGAAAGCCUGAUCAAGCAAUGCCGCGUGAGUGAUGAAGGCCUUAGGGUUGUAAAGCUCUUUUACCCGGGAUGAUAAUGACAGUACCGGGAGAAUAAGCUCCGGCUAACUCCGUG
This 433-nucleotide ribosomal RNA is filed under the name uncultured bacterium. Its description in RNAcentral is "partial 16S ribosomal RNA". It matches the Rfam family "Bacterial small subunit ribosomal RNA", at positions 29 to 507 of the family's 1533-position model. The record is from RNAcentral.